GAAAUGCGAUAAGUAAUGUGAAUUGCAGAAUUCAGUGAAUCAUCGAAUCUUUGAACGCACAUUGCGCCCGCCAGCACUCUGGCGGGCAUGCCUGUUCGAGCGUCAUUUCAACCCUCAAGCUCAGCUUGGUGUUGGGACUCGCGGUAACCCGCGUUCCCCAAAUCGAUUGGCGGUCACGUCGAGCUUCCAUAGCGUAGUAAUCAUACACCUCGUUACUGGUAAUCGUCGCGGCCACGCCGUAAAACCCCAACUUCUGAAUGUUGACCUCGGAUCAGGUAGGAAUACCCGCUGAACUUAAGC
Molecule: unclassified non-coding RNA, 300 nt
Filed under: plant metagenome
Description: partial contains 5.8S ribosomal RNA, internal transcribed spacer 2, and large subunit ribosomal RNA
Rfam family: 5.8S ribosomal RNA (bases 1-105)
Source: RNAcentral